RNAcentral lists this small RNA (28 nucleotides) under Bombyx mori (domestic silkworm). RNAcentral describes it as "ovarian small RNA-11915". The record is from RNAcentral. Lineage: Eukaryota; Metazoa; Arthropoda; Insecta; Lepidoptera; Bombycidae.
AGAGAAUACGUAUGGCCCCUUAAUGGUA